GCGCCUGUAGCUCAACGGCUAGAGUACUUAGCUUCGGACUAAGGGGUUGUGGGUUCGAAUCCUACCAGGCGCGCCA
RNAcentral lists this transfer RNA (76 nucleotides) under candidate division WWE3 bacterium CG10_big_fil_rev_8_21_14_0_10_32_10. Its description in RNAcentral is "tRNA-Arg". It matches the Rfam family "tRNA". Rfam says of the family: Transfer RNA (tRNA) molecules are approximately 80 nucleotides in length. Their secondary structure includes four short double-helical elements and three loops (D, anti-codon, and T loops). Further hydrogen bonds mediate the characteristic L-shaped molecular structure. tRNAs have two regions of fundamental functional importance: the anti-codon, which is responsible for specific mRNA codon recognition, and the 3' end, to which the tRNAs corresponding amino acid is attached (by aminoacyl-tRNA synthetases). tRNAs cope with the degeneracy of the genetic code in two manners: having more than one tRNA (with a specific anti-codon) for a particular amino acid; and 'wobble' base-pairing, i.e. permitting non-standard base-pairing at the 3rd anti-codon position. The record is from RNAcentral. Lineage: Bacteria; candidate division WWE3.